UACGUAGGGACCGAGCGUUGUCCGGAUUCAUUGGGCGUAAAGAGCUCGUAGGCGGCUGUUCAAGUCGAACGUGAAAACUCGGAGCUCAACUCCGAGCCUGCGUUCGAUACUGGACGGCUAGAGUCUGGUAGGGGGAUCUGGAAUUCCUGGUGUAGCGGUGGAAUGCGCAGAUAUCAGGAGGAACACCGGUGGCGAAGGCGGGAUCCUGGGCCAGUACUGACGCUGAGGAGCGAAAGCAUGGGGAGCAAACAGG
Molecule: ribosomal RNA, 253 nt
Filed under: uncultured bacterium
Lineage: Bacteria
Description: partial 16S ribosomal RNA
Rfam family: Bacterial small subunit ribosomal RNA
Source: RNAcentral